RNAcentral lists this ribosomal RNA (1094 nucleotides) under uncultured bacterium. RNAcentral's name for it is "bacterial SSU rRNA". It matches the Rfam family "Bacterial small subunit ribosomal RNA", at positions 49 to 1141 of the family's 1533-position model. The record is from RNAcentral.
UAACACAUGCAAGUCGAGGGGCAGCGGGGGUAGCGAUACCCGCCGGCGACCGGCGCACGGGUGAGUAACGCGUAUGCAACUUACCUAUCAGAGGGGGAUAACCCGGCGAAAGUCGGACUGAUACCGCAUGAAGCAGGGGCCCCGCAUGGGGAUAUUUGCUAAAGAUUCAUCGCUGAUAGAUAGGCAUGCGUUCCAUUAGGCAGUUGGCGGGGUAACGGCCCACCAAACCGACGAUGGAUAGGGGUUCUGAGAGGAAGGUCCCCCACAUUGGUACUGAGACACGGACCAAACUCCUACGGGAGGCAGCAGUGAGGAAUAUUGGUCAAUGGGCGUAAGCCUGAACCAGCCAAGUCGCGUGAGGGAUGAAGGUUCUAUGGAUCGUAAACCUCUUUUAUAAGGGAAUAAAGUGUGGGACGUGUCCUGUUUUGUAUGUACCUUAUGAAUAAGGAUCGGCUAACUCCGUGCCAGCAGCCGCGGUAAUACGGAGGAUCCGAGCGUUAUCCGGAUUUAUUGGGUUUAAAGGGUGCGUAGGCGGCCUUUUAAGUCAGCGGUGAAAGUCUGUGGCUCAACCAUAGAAUUGCCGUUGAAACUGGGGGGCUUGAGUAUGUUUGAGGCAGGCGGAAUGCGUGGUGUAGCGGUGAAAUGCUUAGAUAUCACGCAGAACCCCGAUUGCGAAGGCAGCCUGCCAAGCCAUGACUGACGCUGAUGCACGAAAGCGUGGGGAUCAAACAGGAUUAGAUACCCUGGUAGUCCACGCAGUAAACGAUGAUCACUAGCUGUUUGCGAUACACGGUAAGCGGCACAGCGAAAGCGUUAAGUGAUCCACCUGGGGAGUACGCCGGCAACGGUGAAACUCAAAGGAAUUGACGGGGGCCCGCACAAGCGGAGGAACAUGUGGUUUAAUUCGAUGAUACGCGAGGAACCUUACCCGGGUUUGAACGCAUUCGGACCGAGGUGGAAACACCUUUUCUAGCAAUAGCCGUUUGCGAGGUGCUGCAUGGUUGUCGUCAGCUCGUGCCGUGAGGUGUCGGCUUAAGUGCCAUAACGAGCGCAACCCUUGCCACUAGUUACUAACAGGUGAUGCUGAGGACUCU